AGUCAACCUAACCUAUGGACGGGAAUAACCUCGGGAAACUGAGAAUAAUGCCCGAUAGAACAUUAUGCCUGGAAUGGUUUAUGUUCCAAAUGAUUUAUCGCCGUAGGAUGGGACUGCGGCCUAUCAGUUUGUUGGUGAGGUAAUGGCCCACCAAGACUAUUACAGGUACGGGCUCUGAGAGGAGUAGCCCGGAGAUGGGUACUGAGACACGGACCCAGGCCCUAUGGGGCGCAGCAGGCGAGAAAACUUUGCAAUGUGCGAAAGCACGACAAGGUUAAUCCGAGUGGUUUCUGCUAAAGAAACCUUUUGUCAGUCCUAGAAACACUGAUGAAUAAGGGGUGGGCAAGUUCUGGUGUCAGCCGCCGCGGUAAAACCAGCACCUCAAGUGGUCAGGAUGAUUAUUGGGCCUAAAGCAUCCGUAGCCGGCUCUGUAAGUUUUCGGUUAAAUCUGUACGCUCAACGUACAGGCUGCCGGGAAUACUGCAGAGCUAGGGAGUGGGAGAGGUAGACGGUACUCGGUAGGAAGGGGUAAAAUCCUUUGAUCUAUUGAUGACCACCUGUGGCGAAGGCGGUCUACCAGAACACGUCCGACGGUGAGGGAUGAAAGCUGGGGGAAGCAACCGGAUUAGAUACCCGGGUAGUCCCAGCUGUAAACUAUGNCAACUCAGUGAUGCAUUGGCUUGUGGCCAAUGCAGUGCUGCANGGAAGCCGUUAAAGUUGCCGCCUGGGAAGUACGUACGCAAGUAUGAAACUUA
This 755-nucleotide ribosomal RNA is filed under the name uncultured marine group I thaumarchaeote. RNAcentral describes it as "bacterial SSU rRNA". It matches the Rfam family "Archaeal small subunit ribosomal RNA", at positions 102 to 858 of the family's 1478-position model. Lineage: Archaea; Thermoproteati; Nitrososphaerota. The record is from RNAcentral.